AGCUCAAAUUUGAAAUCUGACGUUUAAUUACGUUCGAGUUGUAAUUUGGAGGGGUAUCUUCGGAAGCAACACCGCCCUAUGUUCCUUGGAACAGGACGUCACAGAGGGUGAGAAUCCCGUGCUUUGGCGGCUACGUUGCAACCAUGUGAAGUGCCUCCAACGAGUCGAGUUGUUUGGGAAUGCAGCUCAAAAUGGGUGGUAAAUUUCAUCUAAAGCUAAAUACAGGCGAGAGACCGAUAGCGCACAAGUAGAGUGAUCGAAAGAUGAAAAGCACUUUGAAAAGAGGGUCAAAAAGUACGUGAAAUUGUUGAAAGGGAAGCGCUUGAGAUCGAACUCGGUCUUUGGUACACAGCCGAGCUUCUGCUUGGUGCAUUGGCCAUUGACUGGGCCAGCAUCGGUUCCGACGGUGGGAUAAAAGGCCGGGAAAUGUGG
This 432-nucleotide ribosomal RNA is filed under the name Octospora echinospora. RNAcentral's name for it is "partial large subunit ribosomal RNA". It matches the Rfam family "Eukaryotic large subunit ribosomal RNA", at positions 106 to 539 of the family's 3401-position model. Lineage: Eukaryota; Fungi; Ascomycota; Pezizomycetes; Pezizales; Pyronemataceae. The record is from RNAcentral.